CCGGAAGAGACAGAGUGGCAAACUGAUAAACAGUGCGACAACCUGAGACCUUGACAGGGGUGGGCCUAUAAUCGGAACAACAGACACACACCUUCAACACUGUAAUCUGGAGCAAAGAAAUGAAUAUUAUUACUCAGGUCAAACUGACAACAGGCCCAAAGGUCUCUCAGCCAACAGAAACACAUCCUAUAAUCCAGUCCAUAACUAACAAUGACCUGAAGAAGGUCAAGAAAUUGCAGAAGGACAAUAAUGUUAACAGAGUUUACCCCUGUAGAGAGUGGGGUGAUUAUAUAACCCCACUGAUUGCUGCUGUUGCAAAUCACAAUAAAGAAAUAUGUUCUUACCUUUUGCGUCAGGGUGCAGACCCAAAUAUGCCUUCUCAACAUCUCUGGACACCUUUGCAUUAUGUCUCAAUGUCCAAAGCACCUCUUUAUUUUGCGGAUCUAUUGCUUGAGGCAAAAGCUAAUCCAGAUGGAUGGAGUCCUCCUCCAGUGCAACAGAUAUUCACACCACUGCAAGUUGCAGCCAUUGAAGACAGGGAGGAUAUCAUGAAAAGGCUCAUCUCUGCUGGUGCAGUGGUGGCACUGCCACCCAGGAAUGAUCCUCAGUGGCUUAUUAACAGUAAAAAAAUAUCUCAGAUGAUUAAUCGCCUUGCAUCAGAUGGAGAUAGAGUGUGUUCCCAAAUCAGACAUUUUUUGGAUAUGGAAAUUGCUGUUUUUGAAAAAACACCUGAAGAUGUGUUCAGAAAUUUUGACAGUCACAUGUUGUCAGAGGAUCCUAGGUCUCAUUUGACCAUGAUUGAAAUCCUCUUUACUGUAACUGGGAUAGGGAAAGAUAAAUACUGCCAGGCUUGCAUUAAAUGGCUAAAGGAAACUGGAAAUGUGAAUAUUUACAUUGCAGGUGCAGCCAGUCGCUUUUCAAAUAUUCCUAAGACACAUGCAGGGAGGGCAGUUGAAAGUUUGAAUGCAGUUUUCUGCACAAUGGAUGAAAUAUCAAAUGAGCAUGCAGUAGCUAUAAUUCCACAACUACUGAAACUGCUUUCCUUAAAAGAGAGACCUGACAUCUGUGAAUCAGUGCUACAAACACUGUAUGUGAUAACACAGAAAACAAAAGGCACAAAGGACUGGCACGUCAACUUUUUAGAGAACUUAUGCAAAACAGUUGCCCCUUUUGUAAAUGAGCAACACUCCACUAACAUCAGGGUGUACACAUACGGUAUACUUGGAAACCUGCUGUCAGUUGAACAGGCAGCUAAUAUUUUUACAUCAGUGGGCAUAACCUCCUUACCCGAGGACAUACUGACAUCAGCUGACAUGAAAAUGAAUGAAAAGCUGAAAGAAGUGCUGAGAAGUCUGAAAACUUAUCUGAGCAAACCAAACUCUGAAUGUGAGGGAAACACAGCAUCAUCUGUGGCCAAGAAGAAAAAGAAAAGGAAGAAGAAAAAGACAGAAAAGCAAGAAAACCCAAACGAUGAUGUUUCGACAGCAGCAACUGAUCCAAUAACUAAAGUUCCUGUUGUAGAAUCAACUUCAGAUGUAAAGCCUUGUGACCACAACACCAAUGAAAAAACAGAAAAACUAAAAUGGCUUCCAGUCAGCAAGAGGUGGAAGGAGAAACUGGAGAUGCUUGCUGGCACAGACGAAAGUAAAAUAUCCAGAAUCAGAAGCAUUAUUUAUGUGAAUGAUGCAGAAUUCAGAAUAGCGAAGGGAAGCGAUGGCACUGAAGUCUUCUUGGGGCUGAGAGAGGACGGCACAGAAGUUGCCAUCAAGAGAAUGUCUAAAAGCAACUAUGAAGAGCUGAAGAACGAAGAAGUAAUUCUACGACAUCCAGAACUCGAUCAUCCUUAUAUCGUACGAUAUGUUGAUGCUGCAGAGGACGAGAACUUUGGAUAUCUUUGUCUGCAACUUUGUGAAUACACCUUGGAAGAACAUAUCAAGAAAGAACAUGACCCACAGAUGUUAAAGAAACUUGUCAAACAAGUUCUUGAAAGUCUAAAGGUGCUUCACUGUCAAAAUCCUAAAAUUCUUCACCGAGAUCUCAAACCCCAGAAUGUUUUGAUUGAUGUUACUGGGAGGGCAAGAUUAGCUGAUUUUGGCAUAAGCAGACGCUUACUCAAAGGCCAAACAACUUUACGUACACGCAGUGCAGGAACCAAAUGCUGGAUGGCCCGAGAGACUUUAGCAGAAGAAGAAUCUGUCAUAUCAUACAAGUCAAGCACUGACAUCCAGGUGGCAGGCAUGCUGAUCUAUUAUAUCCUCUCUGGAGGGAACCAUCCAUUUGGCAAAUCCUUUGAAUGUGAGUUCAACAUUCACAAAGGGAACUACAGUUUGGAUCAUGUUCAAGAUGUGGUGGCAAAGGAUCUCAUCGAGUGGAUGAUCAACAAAGAGCCAAAGGACAGACCCAAAGUAGAAGAAUGCUUAAACCAUCCCUUCUUCUGGACGUCUGAAAACAUAAUUUGAAAUUUCCAGGAAAACUGAAUACCUGAGAAAGAUCGGUAACAGGGGCGAGGUUGCAAACCACCUUAAGGCUGACCAGGAGCUGAUUGUUUCUCUAGAAAAAUGUGCUGUGGACGAAUCCUUUAAACAGUGGAAAAAUAAGUUUCCACAAGAGCUGGUUCAGGCGAUGGAUGGCAGAAAGCCGUACCCUGAAAACAUGCUGGCAUUACUGCGCUUUAUACGCAAUCUCCAUGAGCAUUAUGCCAAGGAAGCAGCCCAAAUUGAUGUUCUGGCAUUCUUUCCUGAUCUCUUUGGGUGUGUUUACACAUUUGCAAAGAACCAAGGCUGGAAUUCAGAGACACCGUUGAGGGAAAUGUUUCAAAGAGAAGACAGCGAGGAUAUUAGCACAGUUUUGAUGAUGCCAUCUAAAAGUGCGGAGGAGUCCCUGGGUGUCCCUGUUCAAGAGUCUCAACCCAGUGAAGUGAAAGUUGUCAGCAGCCAUAAAAAAUAAAAUAAUAACUGCUAGUAGUAGCAGAGAUGUCAUGUAGGUGUACCUCCUGCUGCUCUGUUAUUUCCCAAAGGAUCACCACAGAAGACACUGAUCUGCUGUGGUGAUCCACAUGUUAGCACAUAGUUGUCCUUCCUUACACAACACUCCAUUUUACCAGCAGUAACAUUGCAGUAUCUUCAAGCUAGGUCUGCUCCUUAAUGGAGCCACUACCAAGACCCUCAGACUGAACCAGCUAAAUGAAUUUUAGACACAAUGUAUGAUUUAUACUUGUGUGAAAUAAGUGCCUGAUGUUUUGAAAAAGUAACUAUUGAUUUUUAAAAGUCUGAGAGAAAUAGAUUAGAAUUACAAUUGUUUGAGUCUCUUUACUCUAUUAUUUUAUUUUUCUUAUUUUUGCGAGGGUGUGUACUGUAUUUAUACACAAUUACGCUGCUUUUGUUUUUCUGUUUUUUUGUGGUUGUAGUUGCUUAUUGCUACAUUUAUUUGUACUCAAUUUUUUUUCUACAGUAGUACAACAUUAUAUUUUUAUUCAGUUAAUCUUCAGGUUUAAUUCUACAUUAUAUGGGGGGGUAUGAGGAACAGAAAUAGAGACAUUUUGUUGACGUCUUCAACAAAUACAAAAGUUAAAAAAAAUAUCUGUUUUUUUUUUCACAAUUAUAGUUUUAAAGACUUCCAUUUCUGAUCGUGGCCUUUAUGCCGUCAUUGUAAAAGAAGAUUUGUAUCUAUGCCCAUUAGACCUUCUCCAGUAUUUGUUUCAUAAUUAAUUCUAACAUCUAUCAUGUAAGAUUUCAUACAGAUUUAGUGUAUUGGUCACAUUUUAAGGGGAUUAUUACUUUCUUUAAUAUUGUAUUAUAAUGCUGAUUUCCCCCCUCCCCAUUUUUUUCUGUUUCUUUCACAUCAGUUGACAGAGUUUUUAUUCAGAUUCAGAAGACUUUAUUUAUCCCCGAGGGGCAAUUCAGUUACCACCAUUGAAAUUAUUUCUUCUUGACUUUAGGAACUGUUGAAUAUCAACUCCUUCAUAGUUUUCUUAAAUUAGAAAUAUUUCUCAGUCACCUUACAAUCAUGGGAUCUCAGGCAACAGGCACAUUAUAUAAGUACUACUUCAAUUCUCCAGAAAAUAUGGCUGGCAUUCAUGAAAGUGAUAAAAAAGUGAAAUAUGAUUUAAUCUAUUUGGAUUUAUCUUUUUAAGUUAAAUAUUUCUGUUCUAAUAGUUUUGUGGAUACAAAAUAAUAUGACAGGACUUGAAGGAAAGUAACACAUUUACUCUCAUUUGUGGCGACUGAGGAUGGAUCAGAUGAGUUUGCCACCUACCUUGUGUCCUCAUACCUGGUGGUAAUGGACAGCAUGUUGCCUUAUCAGCACUGGGGUCUUUUGUUUGAUGGUUCCACAGUGCCUCCCUCUGGCCGUGAUGA
This is an RNA transcript of Oreochromis niloticus (Nile tilapia), 4355 nucleotides long. RefSeq lists it as uncharacterized. The transcript has 7 exons. The record is from RefSeq and is a predicted model, not a curated record. NCBI's taxonomy places the organism in Eukaryota, Metazoa, Chordata, Actinopteri, Cichliformes, Cichlidae.